CCUACGGGAGGCAGCAGUGAGGAAUAUUGGUCAAUGGGCGAGAGCCUGAACCAGCCAAGUCGCGUGAGGGAGUACUGCCCUAUGGGUUGUAAACCUCUUUUGUCGGGGAGCAAAAGCCGGACGUGUCCGGCUGUGAGAGUACCCGACGAACAAGCAUCGGCUAACCCCGUGCCAGCAGCCGCGGUAAUACGGAGGAUGCGAGCGUUAUCCGGAUUUAUUGGGGUUAAAGGGUGCGCAGGCGGAUUUUUAAGUCAGCGGUCAAAUCGUGGGGCUCAACCCCAUCCAGCCGUUGAAACUGGGGAUCUAGAGUGUGCGAGAGGUAUGCGGAAUGCGUGGUGUAGCGGUGAAAUGCAUAGAUAUCACGCAGAACCCCGAUUGCGAAGGCAGCAUACCGGUGCACAACUGACGCUCAGGCACGAAAGCGUGGGUAUCGAACAGGAUUAGAUACCCCGGUAGUC
Molecule: ribosomal RNA, 458 nt
Filed under: uncultured bacterium
Lineage: Bacteria
Description: partial 16S ribosomal RNA
Rfam family: Bacterial small subunit ribosomal RNA
Source: RNAcentral